AAUACCGGAAGUACUUGCUGUAGGCAUGGAAUUUGACCACUAGAGGAAAUACACGGGAACAAUAAAUGAUAGUCCUCUGGCUACUUGAAGAUGUGUGUUUUUAUCGCCCUCUAGUGGUUACAAUGAAUGAAUAAAUUGGUCAAGCCAAAGCCUCGUGAAAACAUCCAGGUUCCUAUCCCCACCUCUGAGAAAAUCUCCCUACACCUCUCGAGGUCCCUCCAAAUUCCUGGCCAAAUGAGGCCUUUUCUUUGACGAGCGACACGAGGGCAUUCCUCAUCAGGGGGACACAAUACCCCCUUUCACCGUGGCCUGGCUCUGAAAUUUCACAGGUGAUGGGAGGAACGGUGGACACUCGAUCCUCCCUCCCCUCUCCAGUGUAACACAUCAGCCCCAGGAAGCGGGAAUGUGGCUGCUGCAUGGAGAAAGAGGAAAAAUGUGGAGUGUGGAGCAAUGUCUGUUGACUGUGCUGAGAGCAUUAUUUCAGGGACUAAAGAUGCAGAUCAUUAAUAAUUUGUUGUAAUGAAAUCGUGAUGUUUGACAUAUCAGAGGUGGCUCUAUCGCACCAUUAAUAAAAUGCAAGCCCCACCCCACAUAUGGGUUUUAAGGAAAGAGGUGAAAGGGGGGGCAUGGACUACUAAAACUACUAAAACUGUAAAAGAGUUUCAGGUAGCGAGAGAGAUGAAGAUGAAAGGCUGUGGCUGCCUCUGUAAGAAAUCUGAGGAAAUGACAGAAUUAGAAAAAGGCCCCUGUCUUUCUCAGCAAGGCAUUUUAAAUGCAGAGAGACCCCCCGUGGGGGAUAUUGAUGCUCCUACUUGUCAUUUAGCCAAUCCUCUCAUCCAGACACACUUACAGCAGUGGGAUGCAGAGUAAGAUUCUCAUUCCAGCCCAAAAGAAAAAAAGCUUAGCAGCCUUUCAGUGAUUUAUUGGAAAAUCAAACAGAGUCAUUAGGGAGCCGUUAAGACUCAAUAUAGAAGCAGCGUGCUCCUUUUAAGUGGAGGUGUUAGAUCUAUUAUUUUUAUUUCCAUCACUGCUGCACUGCUUCUCUCAGAAAACACAUUAUUACUAUUUGUUUUAUUUCCAAAGAUCAUUUUGAUAGUUUUUAUGCCUGCUAACUCGACAUAUGUUACUACAGCCAGGAAACUGGUUGGUGGAAGCACUAGAAAACAAUAACAAUCGUGCC
Long non-coding RNA from Oreochromis aureus, 1180 nucleotides. RefSeq lists it as uncharacterized. The record is from RefSeq and is a predicted model, not a curated record. NCBI's taxonomy places the organism in Eukaryota, Metazoa, Chordata, Actinopteri, Cichliformes, Cichlidae. The transcript has 3 exons.